AUGAUGGGCCGUUUUCGCCGCCUCUUAAAUGACUUGGAGCUCAAGGAGGCCUGCCUCAUUGGGCGGAGAUAUACUGGGAGCAACGAGAGACGUCAGCCCACGCUCGAAAAGAUUGACCGCUGGUUCUCCACGGCGGACUGGGAUGCGGGCCAUCCGGACCACCUGCUGCAGGCAUUGUCAUCAUCCAUCUCAGACCACCUUUGUGGACCUUUUUCUGCGAUUGAAAGCCACUGCCAAAGCGCUGACCAAAUGGAAUCAGUCUAA
Molecule: ribosomal RNA, 264 nt
Filed under: Triticum aestivum (bread wheat)
Lineage: Eukaryota; Viridiplantae; Streptophyta; Magnoliopsida; Poales; Poaceae
Description: partial small subunit ribosomal RNA
Source: RNAcentral